Molecule: transfer RNA, 75 nt
Filed under: Nocardioides sp. AN3
Lineage: Bacteria; Bacillati; Actinomycetota; Actinomycetes; Propionibacteriales; Nocardioidaceae
Also listed under: 3 other names
Description: tRNA-Val
Rfam family: tRNA
About the family: Transfer RNA (tRNA) molecules are approximately 80 nucleotides in length. Their secondary structure includes four short double-helical elements and three loops (D, anti-codon, and T loops).
Source: RNAcentral
GGGUGAUUGGCGCAGUGGUAGCGCGCUUCGUUCACACCGAAGAGGUCACUGGUUCGAACCCAGUAUCACCCACCA